This 253-nucleotide ribosomal RNA is filed under the name uncultured bacterium. RNAcentral describes it as "partial 16S ribosomal RNA". It matches the Rfam family "Bacterial small subunit ribosomal RNA", at positions 524 to 776 of the family's 1533-position model. The record is from RNAcentral.
UACAGGGGGUGCAAACGUUGCUCGGAAUCAUUGGGCGUAAAGCGCACGUAGGCGGUCUGUCAUGUCGGAUGUGAAAGCCCUUGGCUCAACUGAGGAAGUGCAUCCGAAACUGGCAGGCUGGAGUACUAAAGAGGGUCGCGGAAUUCCCGGUGUAGAGGUGAAAUUCGUAGAUAUCGAGAGGAACACCGGUGGCGAAGGCGGCGACCUGGGUAGAUACUGACGCUGAGGUGCGAAAGCGUGGGGAGCAAACAGG